GGGGAAAUGAUGAAAUGGUAGCCAUAGUAACUUCAAAAGUUGCGGAUUUAUAAUCGUGGGGGUUCGAAUCCCCCUUUCCCCA
RNAcentral lists this transfer RNA (82 nucleotides) under Chloromonas perforata. RNAcentral describes it as "tRNA-Leu". It matches the Rfam family "tRNA". Rfam says of the family: Transfer RNA (tRNA) molecules are approximately 80 nucleotides in length. Their secondary structure includes four short double-helical elements and three loops (D, anti-codon, and T loops). Lineage: Eukaryota; Viridiplantae; Chlorophyta; Chlorophyceae; Chlamydomonadales; Chlamydomonadaceae. RNAcentral also lists the same sequence under 1 other name. The record is from RNAcentral.